AAUGAACGCUGGCGGCGUGGUUAAGACAUGCAAGUCGAACGGUGUUUCGGGUGUAGCAAUACAUUCGAAACGCAGUGGCGAACGGGUGCGUAACACGUGAACAAUCUACCUCCAAGUGGGGAAUAGCUCGCCGAAAGGCGAAUUAAUACCGCAUACGGUUGAGUCUCUCCUGAGUCUCAUACCAAAGUCGGGGACCGCAA
RNAcentral lists this ribosomal RNA (200 nucleotides) under uncultured bacterium. RNAcentral's name for it is "partial 16S ribosomal RNA". It matches the Rfam family "Bacterial small subunit ribosomal RNA", at positions 29 to 213 of the family's 1533-position model. The record is from RNAcentral.